ACGGAGGGUGCAAGCGUUAUCCGGAUUCACUGGGUUUAAAGGGUGCGUAGGCGGGUUGGUAAGUCCGUGGUGAAAUCUCCAAGCUUAACUUGGAAACUGCCGUGGAUACUAUCAAUCUUGAAUAUCGUGGAGGUAAGCGGAAUAUGUCAUGUAGCGGUGAAAUGCUUAGAUAUGACAUAGAACACCAAUUGCGUAGGCAGCUUACUACACGAUCAUUGACGCUGAGGCACGAAAGCGUGGGGAUCAAACAGGAUUAGAUACCCUGGUAGUCCACGCCCUAAACGAUGGAUACUCGACAUCAGCGAUACACUGUUGGUGUCUGAGCGAAAGCAUUAAGUAUCCCACCUGGGAAGUACGAUCGCAAGAUUG
This 369-nucleotide ribosomal RNA is filed under the name uncultured bacterium. Its description in RNAcentral is "bacterial SSU rRNA". It matches the Rfam family "Bacterial small subunit ribosomal RNA", at positions 525 to 896 of the family's 1533-position model. The record is from RNAcentral.